UACGGAAGGCAGCGGUGGGGAAUAUUGCACAAUGGGCGAAAGCCUGAUGCAGCUAUGCCGCGUGUAUGAAGAAGGCCUUAGGGUUGUAAAGUACUUUCAUCGGGGAGGAAAAACAAAACUAAUAAUUUUAUUUCUUGACGUUACCCGAAAAAGAAGCACCGGCUAACUCCGUGCCAGCAGCCGCGGUAAUACGGAGGGUGCUAGCGUUAAUCAGAAUUACUGGGCGUAAAGAGCACGUAGGUGGUUUUUUUAAGUCAGAUGUGAAAUCCCUGGGCUUAACCUAGGAACUGCAUUUUGAAACUGAAAUACUAGAGUAUCGUAGAGGGAGGUAGAAUUCUAGGUGUAGCGGUGAAAUGCGUAGAUAUCUGGAGGAAUACCUGUGGCGAAAGCGGCCUCCUAAACGAAUACUGACACUGAGGGUGCGAAAGCGUGGGGAGCAAACAGGGAUUAGAUACC
Molecule: ribosomal RNA, 456 nt
Filed under: uncultured bacterium
Lineage: Bacteria
Description: bacterial SSU rRNA
Rfam family: Bacterial small subunit ribosomal RNA
Source: RNAcentral